UACGGAGGGUGCAAACGUUGCUCGGAAUCAUUGGGCGUAAAGCGCACGUAGGCGGCCUGAUAAGUCGGGUGUGAAAGCCCGGGGCUCACCCCCGGAAGUGCAUUGGAAACUGAUGGACUAGAGUCCCGGAGAGGAGAGUGGAAUUCCUGGUGUAGCGGUGAAAUGCGUAGAUAUCAGGAGGAACACCGGUGGCGAAGGCGGCUCUCUGGACGGUGACUGACGCUGAGACGCGAAAGCGUGGGGAGCAAACAGG
This 253-nucleotide ribosomal RNA is filed under the name uncultured bacterium. RNAcentral describes it as "partial 16S ribosomal RNA". It matches the Rfam family "Bacterial small subunit ribosomal RNA", at positions 524 to 776 of the family's 1533-position model. The record is from RNAcentral.